Molecule: long non-coding RNA, 549 nt
Organism: Chionomys nivalis (European snow vole)
Lineage: Eukaryota; Metazoa; Chordata; Mammalia; Rodentia; Cricetidae
Exons: 3
Source: RefSeq, a predicted model, not a curated record
CCUGCAACACGGAACCCAGAUGGCAGCUCUCUUGAAUCUGCUUCGGUUUCCUUUAACAGCCUCUUUACCGAAGCUGCCCUGAAGAGGAUGCUCGCGCUUGGCUCAGCAGGAGGAACCGGCAGAAUCGGGUUUCCAAGAAGAUGAGACUCCCAAGUACUAAGUAGAAAGAAAAGACAAAUGAGAAGCCAAAGGGCCGCCCUGCCCAGCUCUCUGGAGACUUCCUCCCUCCUACCUUGAGCUCUUCUGCCAUAUUCCAUAUUCCCUGUCUGGGUUCAGUUGAAGCUCUUGUCCCCUGAGAAGCUCCGGUUUUCUUCCCGUGUGGAGGGGAAGGAGGAGAGCGAGGAAGAGACCCACGAGUCUGCUCACCCCUCUGAGAUGAAGAAUUCAAGCUGCGAUUAAAUGGCAUCUGCUGUCCUCCCGAGAACUCCACUGGAGUGCAUGAUCCUGAGAGAAAAACUGGGAAUUUUCUUUCCUUUUUUUCCCCUUUUCUUUCCUUUCUUUUCGUCUAUUCAAUGUGUCUUCCACAUCGGGCAUCUCAAUCCCAUUCAU